GCCAGACUCCUACGGGAGGCAGCAGUGAGGGAUAUUGGGCAAUGGGGGAAACCCUGACCCAGCGACGCCGCGUGAGGGAAGACGGUCUUCGGAUUGUAAACCUCUGUCUUUGGGGACGAAAAAGGACGGUACCCAAGGAGGAAGCUCCGGCUAACUACGUGCCAGCAGCCGCGGUAAUACGUAGGGAGCGAGCGUUGUCCGGAAUUACUGGGUGUAAAGGGAGCGUAGACGGCAUGGCAAGUCAGAUGUGAAAGCCCGGGGCUCAACCCCGGGACUGCAUUUGAAACUGUCAGGCUGGAGUGCAGGGGAGGUAAGUGGAAUUCCUAGUGUAGCGGUGAAAUGCGUAGAUAUUAGGAGGAACACCAGUGGCGAAGGCGGCUUACUGGACUGUAACUGACGUUGAGGCUCGAAAGCGUGGGGAGCAAACAGGAUUAGAUACCCUCGUA
Molecule: ribosomal RNA, 446 nt
Filed under: uncultured bacterium
Lineage: Bacteria
Description: bacterial SSU rRNA
Rfam family: Bacterial small subunit ribosomal RNA
Source: RNAcentral